AACGAACGCUGGCGGCAGGCUUAACACAUGCAAGUCGAGCGCCCCGCAAGGGGAGCGGCAGACGGGUGAGUAACGCGUGGGAACGUACCUUUUGGUUCGGAACAACUCCGGGAAACUGGAGCUAAUACCGGAUAAGCCCUAACGGGGAAAGAUUUAUCGCCGAAAGAUCGGCCCGCGUCUUAUUAGCUAGGUGGUGGGGUAAUGGCUCACCAAGGCGACGAGGGGUAGCUGGCCUGAGAGGAUGAUCGGGCACGCUGGGACGGAGAUACGGCCCCGACUGCGACGGGCGGCAGCAGUGGGGAAUAGUGCAAGAUGGGCGGAAGCGUGAUGUAGCAACGCCGGGUGCGGGAUGAGGGAAUUCGGGUUGUAAACCGAUUUCGCCUGUGACGAAGCGUGAGUGACGGUAAUGGGUAAAGAAGCAACGGCUAACUACGUG
Molecule: ribosomal RNA, 436 nt
Filed under: uncultured bacterium
Lineage: Bacteria
Description: partial 16S ribosomal RNA
Rfam family: Bacterial small subunit ribosomal RNA
Source: RNAcentral